GUCUUCUUUGACUAAAGAACCCAUUUCCCACAAUACAGAACUAGCUGUUCACUGACCCUCAUAUUGGAAGAUGGUGACAUGCCAUGGAGCCUCACUAGUGAUCCUGUAUCUUCACCUGGACUGGGUGAGCUGCCUAGAGAAGGUGGAGCAGAGCCCUCAGUCCCUGAAGAUCCAGGAGGGAGGGAGCGCCACAAUCAACUGCAGCUGGACAGACAUUACCAACAAUGAGCUGCAGUGGUUCAGGCAGGAUCCUGGGAAAGGCCUCAUCCUCCUAUUGUACAUAACUUCGGAGGAGAAGCAGAAUGGAAGGUUAAGAUCCACGAUCAGCAGGAAGGAGCGUCAUAGUACCCUGCACAUCACUGGUGCCCAGGCUGAAGACUCAGCCACCUACCUCUGUGCUGUGGGGCACAGUGAUCCCCAGGCACCUGCAGGCUGUGCGCAAACCCCAGAGCUGAGACACAGACCCUUCCAGAGAGCACAUUGUGACAACCUAAAAGCAUAUCCAUUGCUUAUUUUCUCAGUGCCGAGAAGCAUUCUCAUUUUAGCUCCCUUUUAUAAUUCUUGGAUCAAACAUUUAUCUACUGCUUCCUGCCCUGGCCUCUGCAGCUAUUGGUAAUACAACAUUAUAGAACAUAACCAGGUCAAGCACUGAUGUACCUAGUGACCUGUUAGAAAUCACACCUCUUA
Molecule: non-coding RNA, 687 nt
Organism: Phascolarctos cinereus (koala)
Lineage: Eukaryota; Metazoa; Chordata; Mammalia; Diprotodontia; Phascolarctidae
Source: the annotation of a RefSeq genome assembly